GAUGAACGCUAGCUACAGGCUUAACACAUGCAAGUCGCGGGGCAGCAUGAAUUUAGCUUGCUAAAUUUGAUGGCGACCGGCGCACGGGUGAGUAACGCGUAUCCAACCUUCCCUUAUCCACGGGAUAGCCCGUCGAAAGGCGGAUUAAUACCGUAUGAGGUCACAUGACGGCAUCAGAGUGUGACGAAAGGUUUGGCGGAUAAGGAUGGGGAUGCGUCUGAUUAGCUUGUUGGCGGGGUAACGGCCCACCAAGGCAACGAUCAGUAGGGGUUCUGAGAGGAAGGUCCCCCACAAUUGGUAACGUAGA
This 307-nucleotide ribosomal RNA is filed under the name uncultured bacterium. RNAcentral describes it as "bacterial SSU rRNA". It matches the Rfam family "Bacterial small subunit ribosomal RNA", at positions 28 to 326 of the family's 1533-position model. The record is from RNAcentral.